CACCAAGGGCAUAUGGUGGAUGUCUCGGCGUCAGAAGGCGAUGAAGGACGUUGGAACCUGCGAUAAGCUUCAGGGAGCUGGUAACCGAGCUGUGAUCUGAAGAUUUCCGAAUGGGGUAACCCGGCCGCAAGGUCACUGCAUGCUGAAUGCAUAGGCAUGCAGAGCGAACCCGGUGAACUGAAACAUCUCAGUAACCGGAGGAAAGGAAAGCAACCGCGACUCCGUAAGUAGCGGCGAGCGAAAGCGGAUUAAGCAGGAGCUGCGCGAACGUGUUGGAAAGCACGACCAGAGAAGGUGAUGGUCCUGUAGCGCAGUAUCUGUGUAGCCCUAGAGUAGUGUCGGGCCCGUGAAACCCGGCAUGAACAUGGGGGGUCCACCCUCCAAGGCUAAGUACUCUCUGACGACCGAUAGUGAACCAGUAAGGCGACUGAACGAUGAAAAGAUCCCUUGUUAAGGGAGUGAAACAGUACCUGAAACCAUAUGCUUACACAGCGGUCGGAGCCCCUUCGGGGGUGACGGCGUGCCUUUUGCAUAAUGAUCC
This 541-nucleotide ribosomal RNA is filed under the name Symbiodinium sp. clade D. RNAcentral describes it as "partial Bacterial large subunit ribosomal RNA". It matches the Rfam family "Bacterial large subunit ribosomal RNA", at positions 1 to 621 of the family's 2925-position model. The record is from RNAcentral. Lineage: Eukaryota; Dinophyceae; Suessiales; Symbiodiniaceae.